Haliotis rubra (blacklip abalone) is the source of this 268-nucleotide long non-coding RNA. RefSeq lists it as uncharacterized. The record is from RefSeq and is a predicted model, not a curated record. The transcript has 3 exons. NCBI's taxonomy places the organism in Eukaryota, Metazoa, Mollusca, Gastropoda, Lepetellida, Haliotidae.
AACAUUUGAAUCAAUAUAUGUACAGUGCCGUGGACUCCUUUAAUAUGGCGGCCUAUGGGAAUCUGCAUUGUGGAACUAUACGUAAGUUGAUAAAUGUGAUGUCAUUAGUUAAAUAGUGGUCGGAAAAUUGAACUGAACUUAUGUGCGCAGAGCAGAGAUUAUUUCAAAUUUGUCUGUCAAAUUUUACAAAGAUCUAUCCUAAACACACUUCAUGAAAAAUAUUUCUGCUACACUGAAAUAACAUGUAAGUCUAUGGAAAUGACGUCAA